This 250-nucleotide ribosomal RNA is filed under the name uncultured bacterium. RNAcentral's name for it is "partial 16S ribosomal RNA". It matches the Rfam family "Bacterial small subunit ribosomal RNA", at positions 524 to 773 of the family's 1533-position model. The record is from RNAcentral.
UACGAAGGUGGCAAGCGUUGUUCGGAUUUACUGGGCGUAAAGGGAGCGUAGGUGGUUCGGUAAGCCCUCCGGGAAAUCUUCAGGCUUAACCUGAAAAGGUCGGGGGGGACUGCCGAGCUAGAGGACGGGAGAGGAGCGCGGAAUUCCCGGUGUAGCGGUGAAAUGCGUAGAGAUCGGGAGGAAGGCCGGUGGCGAAGGCGGCGCUCUGGAACGUUUCUGACACUGAGGCUCGAAAGCGUGGGGAGCAAAC